UACGGAGGGUGCAAGCGUUAUCCGGAUUCACUGGGUUUAAAGGGUGCGUAGGCGGGUAGGUAAGUCAGUGGUGAAAUCUCCAAGCUUAACUUGGAAACUGCCGUUGAUACUAUCUAUCUUGAAUAUUGUGGAGGUGAGCGGAAUAUGUCAUGUAGCGGUGAAAUGCUUAGAUAUGACAUAGAACACCAAUUGCGAAGGCAGCUCACUACGCAAUCAUUGACGCUGAGGCACGAAAGCGUGGGGAUCAAACAGGAUUAGAAACCCCCGUAGUCC
RNAcentral lists this ribosomal RNA (273 nucleotides) under uncultured bacterium. Its description in RNAcentral is "partial 16S ribosomal RNA". It matches the Rfam family "Bacterial small subunit ribosomal RNA", at positions 524 to 796 of the family's 1533-position model. The record is from RNAcentral.